RNAcentral lists this ribosomal RNA (333 nucleotides) under Triticum aestivum (bread wheat). RNAcentral's name for it is "partial small subunit ribosomal RNA". Lineage: Eukaryota; Viridiplantae; Streptophyta; Magnoliopsida; Poales; Poaceae. The record is from RNAcentral.
AUGCCAAUCAGACCAGGGUUCAGCUGCACCUGUUUGUGGCCACUAAAAGAAGCUAAGGUUGCAUUGUUAGUGGCAACUCUAGGGGAGCAUAAGCUGUAUAUCAAGGAACAACUUGUUGUUGUCGUUCAUGUGCUCAAUGAACUGAAAUGCAAGAUAGAAGAAAGGAUCAUGCAGUAUUACGAUAUUCAUUCACAGAUUGAGAAGAUAUGGUCUGAGUUAAGUGAGCAUAUUGAUCAGGGUGAUAAUGUAAACAUUCCAGCUACUGAUGAACAUGAUUUGUCAGCAAGGAAUCUUAAUAGCUACCAAGCACAACUUCGUGCCAUGCAAAGAUAA